GACAGAGGGUGCAAACGUUGUUCGGAAUUACUGGGCGUAAAGCGUGUGUAGGCGGCCAAGCAAGUCGGAUGUGAAAGCCCAGGGCUCAACCCUGGAAGUGCACUCGAUACUGCUAGGCUCGAGUCUCGGAGAGGUUGGUGGAAUUCUUGGUGUAGAGGUGAAAUUCGUAGAUAUCAAGAGGAACACCGGUGGCGAAGGCGGCCAACUGGACGAAGACUGACGCUCAGACACGAAAGCAUGGGGAGCAAACAGG
Molecule: ribosomal RNA, 253 nt
Filed under: uncultured bacterium
Lineage: Bacteria
Description: partial 16S ribosomal RNA
Rfam family: Bacterial small subunit ribosomal RNA
Source: RNAcentral